This 569-nucleotide small RNA is filed under the name Pongo abelii (Sumatran orangutan). RNAcentral describes it as "processed transcript". The record is from RNAcentral. Lineage: Eukaryota; Metazoa; Chordata; Mammalia; Primates; Hominidae.
AGUCUCCGUGGAGAUUUCUCCUCGACCUCUUCCCCGCGGCAAUGUGCGAACCCUGGGUCUCCAGGAAACGGGGAUACGGGGCAUGGCUCCCAGCAAGGCCUGGUCCAGUCUCUCCGAAAUAUACGUCUGUCACAGUUAACGGCAAAGCCUAGGGCAAGAGUUCUACGCCCAAGAUGGCCAGCCGGAAGCGGACUUCUCGCGACCAUGUGGCGAAGCCCCAUUCGUCAGCUGGCCGCCCGCGGCCCUGGUACCCGGUCACCUCUCUGAUCUGCGCAUGUGCUGGGCUACGCCCGGGCGCAAGCGCCAAGAGCGGCUGCGUCUAUGGUCAUGACGUCUGACAGAGCGUCCACCCGUCUUCGCCAGGACUCUAUGGUUCUUACGCGCGCAGACAGACCGCCUAUAUAAGCCAUGCGCAGGCGGAGGAGCGCCUCUUUCCCUUCGGUGUGCCACUGAAGAUCCUGGUGUCGCCAUGGGCCGCCGCCCCGCCCGUUGGUGAGUCUUGAAUCCAUGUACUUUCACUGCUGGGAAACGGGCGGGGAAAGAAGUGCCUAUGGCCGCUGAAAACAAUU